Molecule: long non-coding RNA, 1707 nt
Organism: Chrysemys picta bellii (western painted turtle)
Lineage: Eukaryota; Metazoa; Chordata; Testudines; Emydidae
Source: Ensembl
CAGGUGAGCUACAGAAAGGACCAGACCGUUCUCUCCUCUAGGGGACUGGGAGCAAACAGGGCCCCACCCCUGUGGUUCUGUUAGUCUGGAUGUACUGGGAACCCUCUGCAGGGCCUCAGGGAUCUCACUCUGAAUACAUCACUGUUAGCCUGUCAUUUCCCGCCCCCACCAGAUUGAGGAAGUGCUACAGAAAGAAAGCCCAUAAGCAGGGCAGCUUUAUGAUUGCAGCAUGUGUGGCGAAACUGCCCUCCCCCUUCCCCCCAGGUUAGGGAAGUGAAAGGUCAAAUGGGAACGAUGAGCCUGACUCAUUACUGCCAGGUACCACACAAACUGUGGCCCCUGUGCAAAGGGACUGUCACAAGCUGCCAGGCCAAUAGCAUUUUACACUCUUUGCACUGGUGUCCCUAGCUGCAGAGUGCAGAGCAGUGGAGAAUCAGGCCCAAUAAAAAACACCAGGGCAAGGCUGACUGGCAUCGUGCAGAAAUCUGGAUCUCAGGAACUGGCAAAAAGCAGUUCAUCUCCCCACCCCCCACUUGCCUCUCUGGAUAAUGACACGUGCCACCCAGAGAACAGAGUUGGGCCUAGGUUUUGUGUGGCUGUGUGUGAAAUAACCCAUGAGGGGCUUGUCCAGCUCGCUUCCCACUGAUGUCCAAACUCCCACACAUCCCUGUAUCCACAGCACCCCUCCUCCCUGCCUGUGACCCCCCUCAGGCUGUAGCAAAUCCCUUACCUCUGAGUGAAGCUCUAUAGCUCCUUGAGGAUUCUCCCUUAUAUGGCCAGGAGAUGGAGCCAACGUGCAGCUUUCCAAGCAGGGGUGGGAAGAGCUGUUAUGAAAUUCACCCCCUGCCAGAGCCCUUGGGCGCCAGAGUCAAACGGGGUCACGGACAGGGAACCAGCUGGGAUGAUGGGAGUGAGAAGUGGGACCCCUGAAAGGGCAGGGAUUAAUGCAGCUGCAUAGGCCUAAAGCAGCAAUUGCUGCUGAGACUCCUAGCCACAAGGAUUCCUGUCACCCAAAGACGACCCUGCCUCCCCUACCACUGUGCACACAAGGGUUCUUCUUCAGAAACCCAGCAACUACUCCUCUAAGGAACAGCACAAACUGGUGUACACUAGCAACAGCGACCCCCUCUGCCGGAGACUUUUCUUUCUCCUGAUUCAUUGGUUUAUCUGUAAACACCUGAGGACCAAGGGAAACCCCCCAGUAUAAACAGCUGUUGUUCAGUGCAGAAACAGCUACACUUCUGGCUCACAGCUGAAAGACAACAACAAAAGAGCAGCCUGAAUUUUUCCAUACUUCAAGGAGGUUUGGGGUCAAGGUUUGGGUGGUACUUUAUUCAAAUCAAAACACCUAACCACUUAUUUAGAUUAUCUUUAGCUAUCUUGUAAAAGCACAAGAUACAAGUACAAAGGUGCCUUAUAUGGGUAUACCUUAUUCUCCUUUCCGUAUAAACACUUUUAUACCAGUAUAACUGUCUGCACUGGGGAGAGGGGAUGUUGAAUCACUCUCACUAUAUAGACAAAGCAGUACAACUUUCUGGUGCAGAAAAGGCCCCAGUUUGCUAAUUUUACAAAGCCUUAUGGCUAAUUUUCUAGGUGGCCUACUCUAUCAGCAUGGUGCCCAGUAUACACCUAUGACCUGCCUCACCUGCUGCUGCUUAAUGACUUCAUCCUCUCUGCUAGAGAAAAUAAAGUUGGAGAGUGAACCCA